This is a long non-coding RNA of Homo sapiens (human), 18347 nucleotides long. RefSeq annotates it as CAVIN2 and TMEFF2 antisense RNA 1. Lineage: Eukaryota; Metazoa; Chordata; Mammalia; Primates; Hominidae. The transcript is spliced from 4 exons. The record is from RefSeq and is marked validated.
GUGGUUGUUCUCCAGCCGCUUCACCUGUGCGCACUGCCUAUCCAUGCGCUCUUUGACCGCGCGCGUGUGGGCGCUGACCUUGCGGGACUUCUCCAGCAGCUUGCUCACCGUGUUGCUGGUGGAGGCCUGGUACUUGGAGAGCUUGGUGAGGUCAUUCUGGAUGCCCUUCACGGAGCCCUCCAAACUGAUCUGUCGCUGCUCCAUCUUGUGCUGGUUCUCCUGCACAGCGUCUAGCAUGUUCACCAGCUUGUCCAGGAGCGUGAGCACCGUGACUGCGUUCACCUGCAUUGUGGCUCUGGAGACCUGGAAGCACUGCUAACUGUUCUCUCGAUUUUCUGACGCUCGGCCACAUCAACCUGUCAUACUAGUUGUGAGGAGAAGUCAAGGACAGUGACACAGCCAGCCAGUCUGAGGCAUUUUCCAUCAUCCUGAAGGAGUUGCCCUAUCCUGCUUUUCACUGGAGGGGGCAUGGAUGGAUCUGGAAUGUAUAAUUGGAGUAGACAUUCUCAGCAGCUGGCGGAAACCCCGCAUUGGUUCCAUGACAUGUGGAAUGAAGGCUACGAUGGUAGGAAAAGAUAAGUGGAAGCUGCUAAAACUGCAUUUACCUUGAAAAAUAUUAAACACAAAGAAACACUACAUUCCUGGAAAGACUGCACCAUCAAGGACUUGAAAGACUCAGGGACGGGGUGAUUCUUAUGUUCUCACUCAACUUGCCUGUGCGGGAGUCAGAUGAAUCUUGGAGAAUGACAGUGGAUUAUUAUAAGCUUAACUAGGUGAUGACUCCAAUUGCAGCUGCUGUACUGGAUGUGGUUUCAUUGCUCGAGCAAGUUAAUACAUCCCCUGGUACCUAGUAUGCAGCUAUUGAUCUAGCAAAUGCCUUUUUCUCCUUACCUCUCAAUAAGAACAACCAGAAUCAGUUUGCUUUUAGCUAGUAAGGUCAGCAAUAUAGCUUCACUGUGCUGCAUCAGGGGUAUGUUAAUUCUCUACCACUAUGUCAUAAUUUAGUUUGCAGGAAUCUUUAUCACCUUUCCCUUCCAAAAGAUAUCACACUAGUCUAUUACACUGGUGACAUGAUGCUGAUUUGACGUAGUGAGCAAGAAGUAGCAACUACUCUAUAGUUAUUGGUAAGACAUUUGCAUGUCAGAGAAUGAAUUUUCAAGAAAAUUCAGUGAAAUUUCUAGGGGUCAGUAUGUGGAGCAUGUGAGAUAUUACUUCUAAGGUAAAGGAUAAGUUGAUGUAUUUGCCUCACCUUCAACCAUAAAAGAGGAACAAUGCCUAGUGGGCCUCUUUGGAUUCUGGAGGCAACAUACUCCUUAUUUGAGUGUGUUACUCUAGUCCAUUUACUGAGUAAACUGCUUUUCACUAGUUUUCAGUGAGGCCCAGAACAAGAAGAGACUCUGCAACAAGUCUAGGCUGCUGUGCAAGCUGCUCUGUCACUUGGGCCUUAUGAUCCGGUAGAUCCAAUGGUGCUUGAAGUGUCAGUGGUAGACAGGGAUGCUGUCUGGAGCCUUUGAUGGGCCCCCUAUUGGUGAAUCACAGUGCGGAUCCUUAGGAUUUUGGAACAAAGCCCUGAUAUCUUCUGUGGAUAACUACUCUCCUUUUGAGAAACAGUUCUUAGUUUGCUACUGGGCCUUAGUAGAGACUUAAUACUUAACUAUGCACUACUAAGUUACUAUUUGACCUGAGCUUCCCACCAUGAACUGAGUGUUGUCUUACUCGCAAAGCCAUGAAGUUGGGCAUGCACAGCAGCACUCCAUCAUCAAAUGGAAGUACUUUGUAUGAGAUUAGGUCAAAUCAGGCUCUUGGCACAAGUAAGUUACAUGAAAAGAAGGGGCCUAAUUGUCAUGGCACCCACUCCUAUUACAGGACCUUCUCUCUCCCGCCUGCUUCUGUGGCCUCACAGGGGAGCUCCUUGUGAUCAGUUGAUAGAGGAAAAAAGACUCAGGCCUGAUUUACAGAAGAUUCUGCAUGAUAUACAGCUACCACCUGAAAGUGGGCAGCUGCAGAACUGCAGACCUUCUCUGAAACAUUCCUCAAGGACAAUGGUGAAGAAAAAUCCUUCCAGUAGGCAGAACUUCAAGCAGUGCACCUGAUUGUUCACUUUGCUUGGGAGAAAAGGUAGGACAUGUGACUGUACACUGAUUCAUGGACUGUGGCCAAUGGUUUGGUAGAUGGUCAAGGACUUGAAAGGAACAUGACUGGAAUAUUGGUGAGAAGGAAAUUUGGGGAAGAAGUAUGUGGAUAGAUCUCUCUCAAUGGGCAAAAAACCAUGAAGAUAUUUGUGUCCCAUGUAAAUAUUUACAAAAGGAUAACCUCAGCAGAGGAAGACUGUAAUAAUAAAGUGGAUAGAAUAGCCCAUUCUGUAGCUACCACUCAGCUUCUUUCUCCAGCCAACCCUGUUCAUUGCCCAAUGGGCUCAUGAACAAAGUGGCCAUUGUGGCAAAAAAGGGGGGUUAUGCAUAGGCUCAGCGACAUAGACUCCUACUCACCAAGACCAACCUGGCUACAGCCACCACUGAGUUCUUAAUCUGCUAGAAGCAGAAACCAACACCGAGUCCCUAAUAUGGCACCAAUCCUCAUGGUGGCCAGCCAGCUCCUGGGUGGCAGGUUGAUUAUAUUGGACUGCUUCCAUCAUGGAAGAGACAGCAGUUUGUCCUCACUGAAAUAGAUAUUUACACUGGAUAUACAUUUUUCUUCCUGCACACAAUGCUUCUCCCAAAACUACCAUCCAUGGACUUACGGAAUGCUUUAUCCACCAUCUUGGUAUUCCACACAGCAUUGCUUCUGACUAAGGAACUUACUUCACUGCCAAAGAAGCAUGGCAAUGGGUAUAUGCUCAUGGAAUUCCCUGGUCUUACCAUGUUUCCUGCCAUCCUAUAGCUGCUGGCUUGAUAGAGUGGUGGAAUGGUUUUUUGAAAUCACAGUUGUAAUUCCAGCACUUUGGGAGGCUGAGGUGGGUGGAUCACCUGAGGUCAGGAGUUCGAGACCAACCUGACUAAUAUGGUGAAACCCUGUCUCUACUAAAAAUACAAAAAUUAGCUGGGCAUGUGGCAUGCACCUGUAGUCCCAGCUACUUGGGAGGCUGAGACAGGAGAAUUGCUUGAACCCAGGAGGUGGAGGUUGCAGUGAAUCAAGAUCAUGCCGCUGCACUUCAGCCUGGGUGACGGAGCGAGACACUGUCUCAAAGAAAAAAAAGAAAAAAGAAAAAAGAGAAAGAAAUCACAGUUGUAACACCAGGAAUUUCUAUUCUUACAGCAGAAAUAGACAUUUGUAAUAAGCUUUGGCUCACAGUCAGGGUUGCCACUGCCACUGCAAAACAGGCAAAUUGAAUUGAAGCAGCUAAAAAAACCUCAGGUUUUGGUGAAGGUAUGUCUCUUCUAUGCAACCUUAAGUCUAGUAACAUUCUCAUCUGAUUGGAUGCAUGCAUAACCAUGAUAAGAAUAAUUCAAUACCUCUGUGAAAAACAAACAAAUGAAAACUACACAGUCUUGAAGGGGACUACAAAGAAAUAUAUUUUAUAUACUGAGUGAAAAAGAACUUCAAGGGCAUCAUACACAAUGUAGGUGUGUUAGUGGUGAAUUUCAUCCCAAACUGCCACUUAAAGUCUUUGUUUUCCCAUUAAAACAUGUAAAAUUCUAUCCUGAAUAUAUAAGAUAGAUACAUUUGGUCUAUGUGUGUGUGUGUGUGUGUGCAUACUCACAAUAUACACUUAUAUACACACAUAAUUUAUAAGAGAAGACCCUGAGUGGUAGUUAAGAGCAUGGAGUCUGCCUGGCUGGCACAAAUUGUGGCUCUCUCACUUGCUGUUUGGGUUUGGGAAGUUUGAUUAACCUGUCUGUGCCUCAGUUUUCUGUUUUGUAACAUGAGAAUUACUAGUGUAUUACAUUCAUAAGACUGUGGUGAGGAUUAAAUGGCUCUAUAAAUCUAGACAUUUAGGAUGGUGUCUGACACGCUUUGGAAAGGUUUGUCACACUUUGAUAACUACAAUGAGAUUCCUAUUAUUAUCUUUGAGACUGGGAUGUUACACUGGGACAUCGGAACAUGGAGCAGGUAUUCCCUGAGUGUGGAGACAGGAAUCGCUGACUCAGAAUAUGCUAGAAACUGAGACAUGAAAACUCAAGAAGAAAUAGAGAGUGAGUUUAAUGAGUGAGCACCAAAAGUUAGGCAACCUACCAUUAACAGGGUGUGGCCUGCAACAAGAUUUCAAAAGCAAGCAAAGAUUUAAAAAGCAAGUAAAGGCCAGGUGCGAUGGCUUAUACCUGUAAUCCCAGCACUUUGGGAGGCUGAGGCGGGAGGAUCACAAGGUCAGGAGAUUGAGACCAUCCUGGCUAACACGAUGAAACCCCAUCUCUACUAAAAAUACAAAAAAUUAGCCGGGCGUGGUGGCGACCGCCUGUAGUCCCAGCUACCCGGGAGGCUGAGGCAGGGGAAUGGUGUGAACCUGGAAGGCGGAGCUUGCAGUGAGCUGAGAUAGCGCCACUGCACUCCAGCCUGGGCCACAGGGUGAGACUCCAUCUCAAACAAACAAACAAAAAAAGCAAGUAAAAAGAGAAACAAGUAAUGAAAACUGUUAAGUUAGUGGUAGAAAUACAAUCUGUACUUAGGAGUUUUGUUUCCUUUGUUCUGUUGCCAUGCAGUAUUUUAUGAUUUUGAUAUAAAAUAGAAAUUACAUGAUUUAAACUGCAUGGCCUAAUAAAUAUUGUAAAAACAAAUAAAACACAUUGAAGUUCAGAAUUCUUUAUCCCCAUAUUUCUUGGUAUUCUACACCAGAUCUGGGUUUGUAGCUGUCAUAACCUAAUUAAGUUUCAUUAAUCACUGUGAUAGCUAGUACAGUUGAGGUAUGGAUACAGAGAAGAAUUUAAAAGAUUCUCUAGAAUUUAUGUGAAAACCCAUUUUUUUAAAUAAAAAAGGUAGGCUAGCAUCACAGAAGACUCAAGGUUUUAAAGACUAUUGUUUAUUUUUAUUUUUCAAUUUUUUUUAUUUUUUACUUUCAUAACCCUCCUUUUUCUGGAGGGGUGGUUAGUUGUUGUUGGUGGUUGUUAUUAUUUGACUAUUGCAUAUUAGAAGUGUCAUUGUUAUUCAUUUGUCUUCCUGAGUAACAUUUGAAGCUUUUAACUUCAGUUUGCAGGUUGGAUUACCGGCAGCUACUGCAGAGAGAAGUUUGGAUUGCAAAUAUGGCAUUUGUUGACCCUGGGCAUUGUUUAAUGCCCUGUAUAGACCAUCGUACAGACCAUGUCAGAAUUCCUAGUCUUUUACUUCUAAAUUUUAUUACAUCGUGUGAAAUUUAGAAAAAUAUAAGCUGUUUAUUUUCUUGAUCAAGAUAGGUGAAGAAAUACAGAAAAGAAAGAAAUAAUGAAAGCAAACCCCAACUUUCAGAUUUGGACACACCUUUGCUAAAAACUAUCAACAUUUUCCCCUUGAAAUUCUGAGUGGAAAGAUAUGUGCUUCCCUAAGUCAGGAGCUGUAUGUGCACUCCCCACCCCGAAACAUUUUUUGGGCAAAUGGAAUCAUUAAAGGAAUGAGAGGUAUCUACUCUUCAGUUCCCACUCAUUGACACAAACAGAAAACGCUACUGCAGCUUUCAGAGGUGACAGCUACUGUCUUCAAGGUGGAGAUAAGAGGUAAAUGGAGGGAGGUCAUACCUCAACUCCAGGAAUCUUGAAACUAAAAUGUUUUCUCAAAAAGCCAUGCACACAUUCAAAAAAAACCUUGGAUUUUCUAGAGCAGAUCUAUUAUCUUUUUUCUGGGUUUUUUUUUUUCAUUGUCUCCAUGAGUAAACUUAUAUUAGAAACCACACCUAAAAUUGGUUACCAGUUACACUUCUGGGGCCAGAAAGCAAAGGAAAUUAAUAAAAGGGAAACACCCUAGGGAGAAACUGAAUGAACUCUUAGAUGGCUAAAAUUUUGUGACUAAUCAGCAUCCUCUUUAAAUGUACCAUAUCCAAGUCUGACCUUUUUACUUAGUAGAAAAACAAUACAAAGAUUGCAGUUUCCAUUUUAAAUACAAUCUUUUUGUUCAAUUGUCAACCAGGAGUGGUUUUAAAUAAAACCACUUUCUGUAUUUUCCUCAGAGGUGUCUUAAUUUUCCCUAUCAAACUCACAAACCAAAGGUACUAAAGUCAGCAAGACCUAAUGUCUAAUUUACUUAUACCUAUGAUGAAAUCUAGUGCCAAGGAUCAUCCAUGGCCAUUGCCCCACUUCAAAUAUUCAUGAGCCUCCACAAUCCAAAAUGCAUUAAAUGUGGGCAGGUUGCCAAUAACACACAAUCUUCCUAAUGACAGGGAGCUUUCUCAGAUCAAAGGAGCAAGAUGUUAAAGACUUCAAACUAAACUGUCUUUGUAAGAGACACCCAGAAAAGAAAUGCCAGAUCCCACACCCUGUUUCAGUUAUGAAACAUCAAUGAAAUAGAGAAAAUAAUAAACAUUCAUUCAUUCCUCUUUGGAACUCAUUUUUUUGCAACAACUUUGCUUCUUUCCUUUCUUACCAUUGCACUCAAACACUAAGGAUGUUAUACACUAAAACUGGAAAAUAUUAUUAAUGCUUUCAAAGACAAAAUGACUACUAAGGAGUUAAUAGCAUUUAUGCCAAUAUGAUAUCGCUAAUGGAGCCUGAGUGGCAUGUAGAGAAUACUACAAAAGCAAAGUUAAAACAGGGAUAAAGAGCUAUGAAGAAUACAUAUAAAGCAAAUAUACCUAAUAAUUUAAGUUGUCCCUUUAUGUCAUUUGUCAUCUGGCUGCAUCUGCUCUUAAACCUGUGCACCUGUGCUCUGUUCCUGGAAAUAUUAGGCAUGCAGCCAAUUUCAUACCCAGCCAUUCCUAUGGUCAGACCCAGCUAUCAGUGCUUUUGUAUGUAUAUGUAUAUUAAAUCAAGUAUCAACCCCCGGGCUCUGAACUACUUCUGACUGACAGAACCAACAGAAAGUUCCAGGCUAAUUACUUCUAAGGAAUAGUUCCCAGAGAAAAGAGUUUCCACUGACCUACUUUGGACUUACUGAGAUAAUUUAUCAGGUAAGAUAAUUAAGGGAAUAUAAGGCUGUUUCUAAAGUGAAAUCAGAAAUAUUUGCUGAAAUCAUAAGUUGGUAUUCCCAAUGCUAUCAGAUGGAGCUUUAUUACUUUGCAAUGAGUCAAUUUUAUUAUAUUUGACUUAUUUAUAAGCCAUUCUUCUUCUUUAUAAAUUAUAUUUGGCAGGGUGUAUUUGAGAAUCCCUUUUAUGUAUAAAUGUAUUAGUUUUGACUGUUUUCAGUCUGGAUAUAAAGAGAAAUGAUAUUUUAAUCCCUUUCUUCUUCUCUUAACCCCUUCCCCAUAAACAGGCACACACAUCCCUUCACACAGGUGUUUCAGUUACUUUCGAAGUCCAUCCUUAAUGAAAGAUACCUCUAUUAUGAGAAUGGAUGUACUGGCGUGUGAAUAACUUGUCCUGUUGAAUUUUAACCCUCUUUUGGAAGCUUAAUCCUUUCCUACAUUUAAGUUAAUAUCUAUAACUGAAAAAGUAUUUUGUAGCAAUGGUCUUCCUUUCCUAUUGAGAGAACCUAAAAUUUUCUGAUUUUUUACAGCCUUGAUGUUCUCCAUGUAAGGAAAAUGCAAGAGAAAAACCUUGAAAUGAAAUCAUAGAACAUAAACUACGGUCUUAGAUUAGAUUACAAGCCAUCUGUUUUCUCAAAAUAAAAGCAUUAAAAUGUUAUGUCAUUAGUAUCAUAGUUUGUCAAUGCCAUCUAAUUAUUAUUUUUUCUCUUCUUCUUUUAUUCUCCUUCUCUUUCCCCUAUUUAUUAAUUUUUUUAUUCCCAUCUCCAGUGUGACUUUCUUCUGAACUCAAAAACUCAUCUAACUAUGAAAACAUGAUCAGCUAACUGUGUACUGACUUUUUUAUUCUAAUAAAGAUUUAUCUUCAUCUUGAAAGUACUUAAGAAUGUUUGAAUAACUAGAUUUAACCCAGUGGGAAAAUGCAAAAUAUUAACUUAUUAGGCCAGGGUUAAAGAAAGAUCAGGAAUUAAUUUUUCACCUUAGUUUCAGUAUUGUGGAUAUAGUAAGAACAUUAUUUCACGUCAGCAGUUAUUCACAUCUUGUUAUUAUUUCAUAAUGCAGGAUUGAGGAAAUCUGUACACAUAAAAUUAUAGUUUAGUUAGUGUUAAAGGCAAAAUAAAACAAUAAGUUGUACUCUUUGUUGCCACUUAUCAUAUGUAGUAUUUUAUGUUUGAGAGAACCUGGCCGUGGUGUCAUCCAAAAUCAAUAGCGUAUCAACGCUCCCUUGAUUUAGUGAAGGUUCUGUUGCCUAGUACUAUAGUCAGAUCACUCCGCUAUUGCUUCCUAUCUUACUUUACAGCCUCUUUCAUUCUAUGCCUAUUUAAUUUCACUCAUUGCUUUAUUCCUGUGUCCUUCAGCUGUUUCCAAUCUGCCCUUCAUGGCCAUGACUAAAUACAAUAUGUUAACAUACAAAGGUACGUUAACAUACAAGGUAUGUAAAUGAAAAUCAAUGCACUUGUCAUUUCAGCACAAUUCCUUAUUGCUUACAUUCAACAUUUUAAAUACAUUUUAUUUAAACACUAAUAACUUUUGUUCUUGUCUUGGAAGUCUAAUGAUCUUCUUGGCUCCCUGCCCCUACAGCCCUCUAAUCUUCACAGCCGUGGCCACUUAGCCCCCAUCUGGAGGUUCAGGCUUAUUCUGCAUCUUGGAGCUAAUCUUGUCCCUAUGCUGGGGGCAUACAAGAUAUCAUAGCCAAGAGCUAACUGAUUUAGCACUCAGCUUUGCUGCUGGUUUCAUUCUGAUCUUGUAAUUUAUUUCUCAGAUGUAGGCUAUGCUUCUCCCAGCAACUUGUAACCAAGGCUUGGCUUUGUAUACCAGUUGCAAUAUCUAUCCAGGCUUUCCUGUUUCAGUUCUUGACGAGUUUUUCUGAUUGACACCAAUUUCUCCAUGACUAAGGUUCUCCUUUGUCCUUCUCCUUGUCUCAUUUGUAACUGAAUUUAUUUUCUGAAGUACAGUUGCCAUGGCUGGGCCCUGUAGACAAUUGCUAAGCCUUUCUGGUGCCACUAUCCUUGCCCAUAUCUUUUCAUACUGCCUUCAUACCAUGGAUCUGAACUUUUGCAAGAAUACCAGGAUUAACCCCCUGCUUGCCUGGAUGUUUUCCCACUUCCAGCUGCAAACAUCUACCUAGACCAGCUCUAACCUUGCAGGCCUUGGAGAGUCACUGCAAAUAUGCUGCCUGCAAUCUGGCCAUCUCAUUGUCUAGACAUGACAGCAAAGACAUAUUGUUUCAAUUGCAUCUUUGGUUGAAUUGUUAUGCUAACAACCUUUAGUUACUUUCACCUCGUAUCUUCAUCUUGGUCCUGCCACUUUAACACUUUAAAACUCAGUUUUCUCUUUUUAGAGUAAAAUAAUAAUGGAAUCUACCUCCUAUGGCUAUUUUGAAGAUAGCUGAGAAAAAAAAACAGUAUACAAAUGGAUAAAACCCAUAGUAAACAACCAAUAAUUUUCAGCUGCUCUUAAAAGCUCAUGUCUUAAAUGUCUUGGAGAAUGGAGCUAUACCACUUAAAGAAUAAUCAUUAAAAAGAUAAGGAACUAGGAAAAUUAAAAUUCUUAAAAAAAAGAGACUCAUGUACAUUUUUUAAAAAGUGAAACAAUUUAUAAGAAAACAGCUUGAAAAAAUGAUGCUGAAAUACAGAUGCAGUCACCAAUAAACGUUAGAAACGAAAUAUUUUAAGGAUACAUUUCCUAUUUGUGUGUCUUGAUCUUAUGACUACAGAAGAGCCCUAAAGCAUUUAGGAAGGAGAAAGAGUCUUUGAAUUAGUCAUUUAUUUUAGAGUAGUAUUUCCAUAAUCCCCUGGGGGUCUUGUAGAAAAGUAAAAUUUUGAGUCCCACUUCUCUGAAAUUCUGAUUCAUUAAUUUUGGGGCAGAACUAAAUAACUGGUAUGUUUAAAAAAAUUCUCAAAGUACUUCUGGCAAUCUCUCAGUUUUGGGAACCACAAAUUCAUCAGCCAUUAAGGUCCCUAGGAUGUUUUUUAAAAACCAUACAUUUGUUGGCUGGGCGUGGUAGCUCACACCUGUAAUUCCAGCACUUUGGGAGGCCGAGGCGGGCAAAUCACCUGAGGUGAGGAGUUUGAGACCAGCCUGGCCAAUAUGAUGAAACCCCAUCUCUACUAAAAAUACAAAAAUUAGCCGGGCAUGGUGGUGCGCACCUGUAAUCCCAGCUACUCAGGAGGCUGAGACAGAAGAAUCUCUUGAACCCGGGAGGCGGAGGUUGCAGUGAGUUGAGAUCGUGCCACUGCACUCUAGCCUGGGCGACAGAGUGAGACUCCAUCUCAAAAAAAAAAAAAAAAAAAAAAAAAGAAGCGAGACUCUGUCUCAAUAAAAAACAAAAAACAUACAUUUGUUUACCUCAAGAUGGUCAAACCAGUGCAUAGACUCUCUCACUCGGCUCCUAGCUGCCCAUUGGCUAGAAGUGUUUGACAGGCAUGAAAACUCUACUGCUGUCUGAUUUUAGUAAUAGAUGUUUAUUUCACUUGGCUAUUCAAAGGCAGUGUUUACUUGUAAGUACGUAGUUUACCCUAAGAACCACCAUUUGCUCAGAUAGAAUCUUCACUUAAAAAAUAUUUUAAGUGCAGACUGUUUUACUACUGCCACAUAAUCUUGUCUUAAUUUUUUUUCUUCAUUUUCCUUAGAUGAAUUUUCCCCUCUACUCACAAAAGUUUGAUCAAAAUGAUGGUUAACUGCUCUAGGCAAGCACAGUCUACAUACUGCAGAAAAUAAAGAGCAGCCAGAUGUUUUCCUGAAAGGGGUGAGGUAUAUGUAAAAAAGAAAAAGAGAGAAAUAAUAGCAAUAAUAAUAAUAGGAAGAAGAUGAAGACAAAGGAGAAGGAAAAGAAGAGGAGAAGGGGAAAGACAGGGAGGGAAAGGAGGAGGAGGAGAAGAAGAGGAAGUGGAAGAGGAAGAAGAGGAAGAGGAGGAGGGGAGGAGCAGAAGAGAGAAUAGGAGAGGAAUAAAAAAAGGCUGCUGCUUUUCAUUAUCAUGACACAAAGAACUCCCUCAGAAGUUUGAGUUAUUCACUUUUCAAUGUGCUUAAGGUGGGACGAAUACAGUAGAAAGCUAAAAUGUUGGCACCCAUUCAAAAUAAUAAGUAUUAUUCAUUAUCUGAUGAACAUAUCUUUAAAAGAGUAGUUACUCCAUCAUCUUAGAAGUCAGAUUAGCAACUGGUAUGAUCUGAAUGUUGCUGUCCCCCUCCCCAGAUUCAUAUGGUGAAAUCCUAACCCCCAAGAUGAUAGUAUUGGGAGGUAGGACCUUUGGGAGGCGAUUAGGUUAUGGGGGUGAAGCCUUCAUGAAUGGGAUUAGUGCCCUUAUAAAACAGGCUCCACAGACCUCCCUUGCCCUUUUUGCCAUGUGAAGCUUCAGUAAGAAGAAGGCUAUUUUAAGAGAAAGUGAGCUCUUAUCAGACACUAAAUCUGCCUUGAUCUUGGACUUCUCAGCCUUCAUAAUGGUGAGGAAUAAAUUUCUUUUGUUUAUAAGCUACCCAGUUUAUGGUAUUUUGUUAUAGAAACCCAAACAGACUAAGUCUGAUCAUCUAUUGCUGCCUGAUGAUGCCUUUUAAAAAUCUUGAGAUAAAGUCUCACUCUGUGGCCCAGGCUGGAAUGCAAUGGCAUGAUCACAGAUCACUGUAGCCUUAACCUCCUGUGCUCAAGUGUUCCUCCCUCCUCAGCCUCCUGAGUACCUGGGACUACAGGCUAGUGUGACCAUACCCAGCUAAUUAUUAUUAUUUUUUUUUAUGGAGAUGUGGGUCUCACUUUGUGCCCAGGCUGAUCUCAAACAUCUGGCCUCAAGCGAUCCUCCUGCCUUGGCCUCCCAAAGUGCUGGGAGUACAGGCCUGCUGGGAGUACAGGCCUGAGCCAUCACACCUGGCUCUGAUGAUACUUUUUCAAAGAUAUUCUAGUAAAUAAGACUUUUUUUUCCCUCUAUAUCCUAACAUUGACAGUUUUGGGGGGCUUCAAUGAUAUUUUAGUGUGCCUUAUCAAGUAAUGCCAUGGAUAGCUGCUUGGCUGGCCCACCUCUUAAUCCAGUUCCAGAAAUUCCUUGCCCUCAUUUUUUUUUUCACUUGGGAACUGAAUAAGAAAAUAAAAAUGCAGACAAUGUCUUCUGUUGCAGAAUGGUUGAUGGUGUUAAAAAGAAAUUAAUCACUGUCAUUAUUUUGUCUAAAAGAAUAAAAACAGCAUAUUACCAGACAUCCUCGGCAUCUUCGUCACAUUCUGCACCAAACUGGCAAAUAUCACAGGUGGAUGUCUCCUUUUGACUAGUUUCUCCAGAGCCUUCAUGGACUGUAGGACAGAAAAACAGUAAAAGGAAUUCAGGUAAUUGUGCAUUAUAUCUACAACUCCAGGACAAUUCUUUAAUUAAAGCUGCUACUUUCCCAAUGGACCUGUCUGCUAUUGAAGCUUCAUAAGAAUGUCAAAAGCAACUCUUUUUUUUCCUCCAAUUUAAAGACAACUCUAACAAUAAUAUGUUUCCCAUUGGUAUGUGGUGAACACGUUUGCAUUUUGCAUGCUAAAUAAAACAAAAAGCAUGUGAGUUUAUUGGAUUCAUCAAAAUUAUUUGCCUAAUAGACCAUAUGAAAGAGUUAUUUAGUUAAAAGGGAGUUAAAUUUUCACCUCUCUGAGGGAGAGAUCUACUGUCUAUUUUACUGAAACAUAUUUAGCAUUUUCUUAUUUCCAGAUUAUGGACUUUUUCGUUCAAAGAAAGUUUUCAUGUAUAAUUUUUAAAAAUUUAGAUGAGCAUCCCUGAUUUAUUAGAUAAUGCCCCCAUUUUUCCCCUCAAACUGUUAAGUACUUAUAAGAAAAAGUAUGUUGAUUAUAAGUUUUUAGAAAAUAGUUUUUAGUUGUUUUUUACUGUCAUUUACUGAAUCUUACAUAAGUAUUGCAUAGAGCUAAUCACAGUGAUUCAUUGUUAGAGGGUUAUGAACAUAUAUUUUAUUUUAAAAAAAUACAUUGAGUCACUGUUUAGUCACUGAUAAUGAUGAUUGAUAUUGGUCCUUUUUUCCUCUAAAUUACAAGUGCAAAAAUAGGCAAUAUAUCACCUAAUUAUAAAGUUAGUCUUUCAAAAUCAGGAUACAACAGUGUAAAUUGAGAAAAAAUUUCUAGUAUUUGAGUACAAGGAAUGAGCAACACUUUCAAGGUGAAUUACCUGUUUUCCCAGUUAAAAAUAUAUAGUUGAAAGAAAAAGUAGUUUUAUUUUAAAAUGAAAAAUUACAAUCAACUAACUACCGCAUAGAUAAUAUAAUUCCAUACACAGAUCAUAUACAUUUAAAAACAGAUGUUUAAAUCAAGGGAACCUUUAAGAAGUGCACUUCUGCAAAAGAACAUUUUCAACAGAAAAAGAACAUAAGCAAUUAAUCCCAGCAUUAGUUCCUGUCUUUAUGAACAUUUUAAACAACAAAGACAACUUAUUAACAUGCACCUUGAACCUGUCAAAUCCAAUCUUACUUAUUUAGUUUUAAUAUGUUAUUUUCUCUUCAUUUCUUUUUUGUUUAUUGACAAGUUUUUCAUACUUAUAAAAUCAAAGAUCUUUAGUUUUCUUUAGUUUACUGCUGUUCAGAUGAGUAAUUUGAUUUACUCAAAAAAGGACAAGAAGACAUCCCUAGGAGAGUUAUCUGUUUUAUAACUCUUCCAAGAAAGGUGGAGGGAUUUAUUUUUUCUAAAACAUUUUUUUCCUGUGCUUGAUAGUCAACGCUUACAUUUUUAAAACAAUAUGAAUUAAACAGGUCAAUUUCAAUUGCAAAAGUAUUGAUGGUAUAGUUUUCAAUUUGGAUGUCUUAAAAAAAAAAAAAGGUGUCCUCCCCAAAAAGAAGAAGGAAUUUUAGACUCUGAUAAAAUAGACAGCACUUAUCUUAUUAUUCACUCUAUUACUUUAAUAUAGGCAAGACCAUUAGAGUGGACCAUGGGGAUAAGAGGGAAGCUGGGGCCUCAUCUCAGGGGAGACCGAACAGCUGAGGUCGGUCUCUUUAUUACUUUCUGAUUAUUAAUGCAACACAGAAGCUGCUAAUGGGAGAAAGCCUUUUAGUGUUAGCAAGAUUAGCAACUUCCAGACUAAAGCUUCCCAUUACUCAGGAAAGAUAAGAACACAAUGGCAAGGACCUUAAUGAACAGUGAUGGCCACUUAGAGACAGCCCCAUUUUCUUCAGCAGUUGAGAUCUUUGGUAAGGGAUUGACUGGAGGUCAUCCAGGGAUAAAUUUUGCUAUCUCAGCAGGACUAAUAAUAAUAUUUCUACCAGAAGUCAUAUUACAUUUCUAUAAAAGGGCAAUUAUUGGUAAAAUGGAGAUGUUUGGAAAUUCUCUGAUAAGGAGAAGUAAAUUCAAAAGAAGCAGUAGGAAUACCCCCAUCAAUAAGUAUUGUGUGAAUAAAGUGCCUUUCUAUGAAGUCACCCACAAAGAAAUAUAAAAUAAAGUAUUUCCAUAUUACUGGAAGCAUUGGUUUGCACCUUUGUAUAACAGUAAACAAACAAAUGACUUAAUCGGUGCACAACUUUCAUUUAACUUUUUAUACCAGUGGUUCUUAAAUAGGGUCUGAUUCAGAGGCUUUCGUGGAUCAUAUUUUUUUUUUUUUAAUAAAAAUGCCCUGAGAUAUCCUUGGAGAUACUGAAUUGGACUUAGUUUGGGGCUUCAAUAUGCCUAUUCUGAAUACAGACUAUCUCCGAGGAAGAGUCUCUGCCUUAAGCAAUACCAAGAAGACUUCAUCUGUCCAGAGCAUCCUCCUCAGGCAUCGUCUAGCACAGGGCUUCUGAUGCUUUAAAGUGCACAGGAAGCACCUAGAGGUUUAGUUAAAAUGCAGAUUCUGAUUCAUUAGGUGCGAGGUAUGGUCUCAGGUUCUGCAUUUCUUACAAGUCCCCAGAUGCUGCUGCUGUUGGUCCACAGACCACAUUUUGAGUAGAAAGAAUAGCACUGUGUUUUUCAAACCACAGUUCACAACCUUUUAGCGGGUGGUGAAAUUAAUGCAUCAUGACUUGCAUUUCUGUAAACAUGAAACAGACUAUACUAGUCUAGUAAGUACCAGACUCCAUCUUAUUUAGCAAGUACAUGUUUUAUUUUAUAACACAGCUUUAGUUAUACAUAUGUACGUACAUGCAGGGCUGCAAUAUAAAUUGCAAUUCUUAGUAAAGGUCACAGUCACAAAAGCUUGAAAACCACUGAUUUAGUACAUGUUACACUCUCAGUAAAUGUGUGCUAAAUUGGACUGUUGCUUCUUUCUCUUCUUUCUACAUUACCAGUAACAGGAAAGAUCAGUGCUUAUUUGCAUUCAUACACUGAUUAGGAAUAAAAUUCAUUUAUCUUAAAGUAUUAUCUUAACCAUGCAUUUAUAUUGUAAGCUCUUUUAUUUUGAGUUGCAAAGUAAGAUAAUUAUUUCCCAUUAUUUUAUAGAAACUUAGGUUUUGGCAAGCGAUUGAGGGAAAUUUGAGGGGUGAGGGAAAUGGAGCUACUGAAAGCACAUUAUCCCUAAUAUUCUGCCCUGCCAUUAAAAUGUAUUUAAUCAUUUUAGGGAGGUUUGGAAUCGGAGGGAUUAUAAGAAAUGAUUGAGUUACUUCUCUCUCAGAUCUCUCUGCCCUGGUAAUUUCUUCUGAAGGUUGAAUUCCAUCACCACCCUGUUCUUCUUGCUGGUCCUACAUGAUGAUGUGCCUGCUGAACCCAGUUCUCACUAUCAUGCUUCCUGUGACUCUUAUAAUAUUCUUAACCUGUUAUACCAUUUCUGAAAACAGUGAACUAUAAUGUUCAAACACAUGGGUAAGCAUUGUAAUUCACUCUGAUAAAAAUGCAAUUAAAAUUGACAUUCAGUGAAAUGAAGUCAUCCAUCAAUAUCUGCUGGUUCCCCAUUCACAAAUUCAGCCAAUCUUGAAUCAAAAUAUUCAGAAAAAAAGUACAAAAUAAUAAUGCAGAAAUAAAAAAUAAUAAAAAAAUAAAAAUAGAGUAUAACACAUUUUUACACAGCAUUUAUGUUGUAUUAAGUAUUACAAGUAAUCUAGAGAUGAUUUAAAUUAUAUGUGAGGAUGUGCAUAGGAUACAGCACUUUAUAUCAUCAGGGACUUGAGCAUCCACAGAUUUUGGUAUACUGUGGGGAGGGCGGGUCCUGGACCCAAUCCCCUGAGGAGACUGAGGGAUGACCAUGCACAGAUCUUAAGGGUACCUGAUAUGGUUUGGAUGUUUGUCCUCUACGAAUCUCAUGUUGAGGUGUAAUCCUCAAUGUUGGAGGUAUGGGUUGGUAGGAAGUGUUUGCAUCAUGGGGGUGGAUCCCUUAUGAAUGGCUUAGGGCCAUACCCUUGGUGAUGAGGGAGUUCUCACUCAGUUAGUUCACAUGAGAUCUGCUUGUUUAAGAGUCUGGGUUUGUUUAAGAGUCUGGAACCUCUUCGUUCUCUCUCUUGCUCCCCGUCUCGCCACAUGACACACCUGCUGCCACUAUGCAUUCUGCCAUGAGUAAAAAGCUCCCUGAGGCCUUACUGGAAGCAGAUGCCGGCACCAUGCUUCUCAUACAGCCUGGAGAACCAUGAGUCAGAAUAAACUUUUUUUCCUUAUAAAUUAUCCAGCCUUAGGUAUUCCUUUAGAGCAAUGCAAAUGGACUAACUCAGUAGCCUUUAAUUAGUGUUGAGUGCAUAUCAAGACACAUAGAACAACUCUAUCAUCCCAGAAAGUUCCCUGGUUACCCUUCCCAGGCAUUGCCCUACCACUACCCUGUCUAUAUAUGGGCAGAUGUCUGUCACCACAGAUUAGUUUUAACUAUUCUAGAACAUCACAUCAGUGGAAUAAUUCAAUAUGUAAUUUUUGUGUCAAGUUUCUUUCACUCAAAAUGAUAGCUUUUGAAAUUAAUUCAGGUAGUUGCAUGUAUCAAUAGUUUAUAUCUUUUUAUUGCUUAGUAUUCCAUUGAAUGAUACACUGCAGGUUAUUUAUUCAUUCUCCUGUUGAAGGAUAUCUGGGUUGUUUUCAGUUACUGACUGGAAAUUAUAAUUGGGUAUUUAUGAAUAAAGCUGCUGUACAAAUCCUUGUAAAAGACUUUGUGUACACAUAUGUUUUGAUUUCUCUUGAAUAAAUAACUAGCAGCAGGAUUACUGAAUCUUAAGGCAAAAAUUAUUGUUGGUGGUGGUUUUUAAAUUCUCCACCUGCAGGAAUGUUUAAUAUAUUUUGGGUACAAAUCUGUUGUCAGAUAUAUGUGUUGCAAUAUUUUUCUCGGUCUAUUUUGUUGACAGUGCUAACCUUGCAUUCCUGGGAAAAGUCAAACUUGAUCUUGGUAUAUUAACUUUUUAAUAUAUUGCUGGAUUUCAUUUGCUAAUAUUUUGUAGAGCAUUUUUGUAUCUAUUUUCUUGAGAUAUGCUGGCUGUAAUUUUCUUUUCUUGUAUUUUCCAUGCCUGCCCUUCAUGAAAUGGGCUGAAAAUUGUUCCCACGUCUGCUAUUUUAUGAGAGUUUGUGUCAGAGUAGUAUUAUUUUUUAUUCAUAAGUUAUAACUCACUAGUGAAACUAUCUAGUCCGGGAGUGUUUUUUUUUUUUGUUGUUGUUGUUGCUAUUCAAUUACAAAUUUGAUUUCUUUAUACAAGGCUAUUUCACUUUUUUUAUUUUAUUGAUUUCUGUUCUUUUUAUUAUAUCCUUGUGCUACAUACUUAGGACUUAAUUUAUUAUUUUUCUAGUUUCUUAAAAUGGAAGUAGAAAUGCUUGACUUUAUGCCUUGUUUUCUCAUAUAGGUAUUAAAAUGUAUAAAUUGCCUUCUAAAGAUUGCUUUAGUUGCAUACCACAAAUAUUGAUAUGUUGUGUUUUCAUGUAUUUCUGUUCAAAAUAUAUAUUGGAAUAUCCUUUGAGAUUUCUUAGACUCAUGAAUUAUUUAGCAGUGUGUUUUUAACUUCCAAAUCUUUGGGGGGUUUUCAAAUGUAUAUUAUUUUUAUUCAUCUUCAUUAAAUUUAAUAGUUUAAUUUAUCAUCAUUGUAUUAUUUAAAUACUUUGUUUAAUUUAGGUACUUUGAAAUGUAUUGUAACUUCUUUUAUGGCCCAGGAUAUGUCUAUCUUUUUGAGUAUUUCAUGUGCACCUUAGAAGUUGUAGCUUGCUCUAGUGUGGAAUGAUUUUCUAUUAAUGUCAAUUAGCUUACAUUGAUGGUUAGUGUUGUUCAAAUCAUCCAUAACUGUACUGAUUUUUAUUUAAUUGUUUUAUCUAUUACUGAGAAAAUAGUGUUAAAAUCUAUAUUGGUGACAGUAAAUUUGCGUCUAGUUCUCUUUUGUUUUGUCAGUUUUUGUCUCAUACUUGGGAGCUUUGUAUUGGGGGUAUAAACUUUCAGUAGUCUUAUGUCUUCUUGAAUAAGUGAUUCUUUUAUCAUUAUGAAAUGCCCCAUUAAAAUCUCUGCUAGCACUA